Molecule: long non-coding RNA, 453 nt
Filed under: Nicotiana benthamiana
Lineage: Eukaryota; Viridiplantae; Streptophyta; Magnoliopsida; Solanales; Solanaceae
Description: long non-coding RNA (NBEN_LNC031701)
Source: RNAcentral
UUCCUUUGCGUUGGAAGUGAGUGGCACCGGUUCCCUUCUUCGUUCUUCAUUCCUGAUUACGUGGGCCAAGUUAGAUGGUUGGAUGAUGGAUUCACAGGCCUUCUUCCAAUUCCAUUCAAUUCUAGCUUGGGUGGGACCUCGGCAGCACCAUCUUACUUCAAUAAUAAGAACAAGGCAUCAGAGGAGCAAUAUGUAAGCGGACAAUUCCUAUUAUGUUGGCCUUCUUCCAGUUCCAUUCAAUUCUAGCUUGGGUGGGACCUCGGCAGCACCAUCUUACUUCACUAAUAAGAACAAGGCAUCAGAGGAGCAAUAUGUAAGCGGACAAGACCUAUUAUGUUUAACCAGAAACAAUGCCCAUCUUUUACAAGUCUGUAUUUUGUUUCUAUUGUAGUGCACAAUUUAUAUCAACUCGAGGAUGACACUCAGCUUUGAUUGGUAAUAAUUUCACAGCUU